This 109-nucleotide Y RNA is filed under the name Microcebus murinus (gray mouse lemur). RNAcentral describes it as "Y RNA (ENSMICG00000042406.1)". It matches the Rfam family "Y RNA". From Rfam's summary of the family: Y RNAs are components of the Ro ribonucleoprotein particle (Ro RNP), in association with Ro60 and La proteins. The Y RNAs and Ro60 and La proteins are well conserved, but the function of the Ro RNP is not known. Lineage: Eukaryota; Metazoa; Chordata; Mammalia; Primates; Cheirogaleidae. The record is from Rfam by way of RNAcentral.
GGCUGGUCCAAAGGUAGUUGAGUUAUUUCAAUUGAUUGUUCACAGUUGCAGAAUGAACUUCUUGUUCCAUUCUUACCCCCUUCUCACUAUUGCACUGGACUAGCCUUAA